GGACGGCCUAGGUAUGUUGGGAAGCUUGAUUUGGCGGCGGCGAGUUCCGGUGUGGGUAGGAUUCGACAUGCAUGGAUUGAAAUACCGGUGUUUUGGUUCGGGUCUUUUCGGUUUUGGGCUGUGAUGGUGUUUUUUUGUUGGGACAUGGGUUUCCGGGCGUAAAGGCUACAGUUUUGGAGUACUACGGCGGCGUUGCCGAAAAUGAAAUCAACUGUUCCGUAAACGUCGCAUUCGCGGUAGAAUUGACGGUUGGAGUGGACGUAUAAAGUGUCUUGGUAACCGAUGAUGUUGCACCUGUAUACGACGGCGUGGUCAGCUCCGACUCGAAGAGCCACUGCUUGGUGCUUGGCGGGUCCGGCAUAGUUCUCGAAUGUCAUGUCCCUUGCAAUAAAACCAGCCCCAGUUGCCGCUGAAAGUGAAAACAAACCAAUGAAUGAUACAGCUUUCUUUGAAAAUGAAGCAAAUUAGAACGUGAUUAGCUACGAAAUUUGUGGGAAUUUUUUUUUCGCUUUGAUAAUAAUAAUUAUAACAUGACAAGUAAUUAUGAUACGAAUAAGAACAAAUUAAAUAUUGCAUAAUAUAUGACCACUUUAUAAACGAAAAAACUAAUUUAGACAAUCCCUACCUCAAUUUUUAUUAAAAAAAAAUAACACAAGGUUUGUAAUUUCCAAUUGUAUGGACAAGAAGUAUAUAAGAUAAAGUGGCUUAAGAAUCUAGGGCUUUGUCUGUCUAAUAACACCCCACGUGCGAUUUCUAACAUCAUGCACCAUGGACAAGCUUAAUAGUUUACUAUUUUAUUUGAUAAUUUAAUUAUUUUAAUUAUAUUAUAAUGUAUAUUUAGUGGAGGAAAUAAAAUAAGAAGGGUGAAACUGACCAAAGGCAGCAGUGUGGAAAGUAGUCAUGUGCUCGGCUACACUUUUUCCUCCUGUAAUCACUGUUUUACCUUUUCCGUCACCUAUAAACAUCAAGUUUAUUUUCUUCCUCCCCACCUUCAAAUUAUCCUCUUCG
This 1008-nucleotide long non-coding RNA is filed under the name Gossypium barbadense (sea-island cotton). RNAcentral describes it as "long non-coding RNA (GBAR_LNC012014)". Lineage: Eukaryota; Viridiplantae; Streptophyta; Magnoliopsida; Malvales; Malvaceae. The record is from RNAcentral.